RNAcentral lists this ribosomal RNA (441 nucleotides) under uncultured bacterium. Its description in RNAcentral is "partial 16S ribosomal RNA". It matches the Rfam family "Bacterial small subunit ribosomal RNA", at positions 338 to 794 of the family's 1533-position model. The record is from RNAcentral.
CCUACGGGAGGCAGCAGUGAGGGAUAUUGCGCAAUGGGCGAAAGCCUGACGCAGCGACGCCGCGUGGGCGAGGAAGGCCUUCGGGUUGUAAAGCCCCUUUGGCAGGGGACGAGAAAGGACGGUACCCUGAGAACAAGCCUCGGCUAACUACGUGCCAGCAGCCGCGGUAAUACGUAGGAGGCGAGCGUUGUCCGGAUUGACUGGGCGUAAAGCGCGUGUAGGCGGUCUUUUACGUCGGGUGUUUAAGGCCCGGGCUCAACCAGGGAAGAGCGCCCGAAACGGGAAGGCUGGAGGGCAGUAGAGGAAAGUGGAAUUCCCGGAGGAGCGGUGAAAUGCGUAGAUACCGGGAGGAACACCAUGGGCGAAGGCGGCUUUCUGGGCUGACCCUGACGCUGAGACGCGAAAGCCGGGGGAGCAAACCGGAUUAGAUACCCGGGUAGU